Molecule: ribosomal RNA, 269 nt
Filed under: uncultured archaeon
Lineage: Archaea
Description: partial 16S ribosomal RNA
Rfam family: Archaeal small subunit ribosomal RNA
Source: RNAcentral
CAGCACCUCAAGUGGUCAGGAUGAUUAUUGGGCCUAAAGCAUCCGUAGCCGGCGCUGUAAGUUUUCGGUUAAAUCUGUACGCUCAACGUACAGGCUGCCGGGGAUGCUGCAGCGCUAGGGAGUGGGAGAGGUAGACGGUACUCGGUAGGAAGGGGUAAAAUCCUUUGAUCUAUUGAUGACCACCUGUGGCGAAGGCGGUCUACCAGAACACGUCCGACGGUGAGGGAUGAAAGCUGGGGGAGCAAACCGGAUUAGAGACCCGAGUAGUC